Molecule: non-coding RNA, 106 nt
Filed under: Acetobacterium wieringae
Lineage: Bacteria; Bacillati; Bacillota; Clostridia; Eubacteriales; Eubacteriaceae
Description: Glycine sequence
Rfam family: Glycine riboswitch aptamer
About the family: This family represents the bacterial glycine riboswitch. Glycine riboswitches usually consist of two metabolite-binding aptamers domains with similar structures in tandem.
Source: RNAcentral
AUGAUGGAUACGGGAGAGACUGCAGAGUGUGCAGCACCGAAGGAAUAAGCUGGUAUUAGCCAUAAUAUCGGCGAUGAUCUCAGGUAAAGAGGACCGCAUCUGGACA